Molecule: ribosomal RNA, 225 nt
Filed under: uncultured bacterium
Lineage: Bacteria
Description: partial 16S ribosomal RNA
Rfam family: Bacterial small subunit ribosomal RNA
Source: RNAcentral
GAUCCUGGCUCAGGAUGAACGCUGGCGGCGUGCUUAACACAUGCAAGUCGAACGAAGCACUUUACCUGAUUUCCUUCGGGGGUGGAUUGUUCUGUGACUGAGUGGCGGACGGGUGAGUAACGCGUGGAUAACCUGCCUCACACAGGGGGAUAACAGUUGGAAACGACUGCUAAUACCGCAUAAGCGCACAGCACCGCAUGGUGCAGUGUGAAAAACUCCGGUGGU